UACGAAGGGGGCUAGCGUUGUUCGGAAUUACUGGGCGUAAAGCGCACGUAGGCGGAUAUUUAAGUCAGGGGUGAAAGCCCAGAGCUCAACUCUGGAAUUGCCGUUUGAGACUGAGUGGCUUGAGUACGGGAGAGGUGAGUGGAAUUCCCAGUGUAGAGGUGAAAUUCGUAGAUAUUGGGAAGAACACCGGUGGCGAAGGCGGCUCACUGGCCCGUAACUGACGCUCAUGCACGACAGCGUGGGGAUCAAACAGG
RNAcentral lists this ribosomal RNA (254 nucleotides) under uncultured bacterium. RNAcentral describes it as "partial 16S ribosomal RNA". It matches the Rfam family "Bacterial small subunit ribosomal RNA", at positions 524 to 776 of the family's 1533-position model. The record is from RNAcentral.